GAGUUGGGGGAGAGGACCAGAACCACCUGCUGGAGAAGGGGAGCUACGGGGGCCGGGCAGGGUCCAAACGCCUCACGUAGGCGGCGGCGCCACGGUCUUCGGGGUCACAGGGAAGAGAAGGGCUCUCCUCAAGCGGGUGGAAGGAGGGAGGCCUCCCGAGGGAGUGAGACUCUAGGCCACUCCCCCGCAGCAAGGCAGGAUCACCUGCGACGCGGAGAGCGGUUAGAGGGCCCUGGAGUGGAAAAGGGCAGUGGGACCUGGUAGCUUGGGUUCCCUGCAACUUGGGGUUCGACCUCCAGGCAAUGAAGUAGGGAUGGUCCUGCAAGUCAAGAUUCCAGUAGCAAGAGUGCAUCAGAUCUCUGUAAGGAAAAUAACUAACAUUGCUCAGUUCCCUGUAGAGUUGCAGGGCGCUUUAACGUUAUCUCCCUUGGUUCUCCAUCAGGUCGUAGUGGACUAAUUUUACAGGCGAAGUUAAGUGACUUACCCAAAACCUCACAGCUAAUAAACGGCAGAGCCGGCACCCAGCUGUACUGGCUUCCAAUUCUGUUAGCUUACCAGCGCAUCACAUUAUCUCCAUAAAUCCCCAUGAUUCAACUAAUAUUAGACGCCCCACAGAGUCUCGCUACUCAAAACGUGGUCAGUGGCCCAGCAGCACUGACAUGAGGAUGUUAGUUAGAAACUCAGAAUCUCAGGCUCCACCCCAGACCUGCUGAACCAGCAUCUUCAACUUAACAAGAACCCGAAGAGAUUUGUGUCACAUCAAAAAGUUUGAGAAGCUCUGAUCUAGGGCUGGAAGGAGUGUUGCUCAACAAUAUCCAAAACCACAGAGGUUGAAAAGCACAAGGAAAGAAGGUAUGUUUGCACUUUGUGAUUAGGUAGUAGGGUCUUUGAGACCACAUUGUUCUUAUUGAAAGCCUGGGAAGAAAGAUCCCCUUUCUGGUCAAGUUUAGUCUAGGGAUCCAUCCCAUCUUCCCCAGUUCCCACGUGUAUGGGACAUGUCGAGAUAAGUAGAUAGAUUGGACAGUGGGAGAAAGUAGUUCUCUUCCAGUUGCUUCUAUUUUCUCAGCAAAGUGAGGAGCAAGAUCAUUUUGGCAGACUGCUAAUUGUCCAUCACAAUUUAGUCUCCCUUUCUCCCUGAAAACACAGACUGCUUUUCUCAGCCUCUCUUUCAGUUGCAUAUGGUCAAGUAUUAAGUUAUAGAACGUGAGCAGAUGUUAUGUCUGCCACUGUCAGGCCAAGGCGUUUACUUUGAGAGUACUUGUGCCUCUUUCAUGCAUUUUCCUUUCUGCCAGCUGGACCCUGGACACGGUGACUCUGAUUCAAUUAUGCAGAUGACCACAAACCUCUGGGGUUGGCAGAGCCACAAGAAAGAAGGUGCCUGGAUGAAGGAGAGCUACCCACUGACCUGGACACCCAAUUAUAGGAUAGACAGUGAAGUGCAACUACAGCCCGCAAAUGAAAAUGAAUAAUAUUAAUCCAGCCCCUCAAGGCAGUCAUCUGUCUUAGAGCUAUUGGAAUCCUGGAUCAUUGUGGGAAAUGAAAGGAACUGGUUUUUAGCAAGGAGACCAAGAAACUCUACUCCCUAGGGGCUAGCAAUGAGAGAAAGGAAGCCUUAAGUCUUUGAGCACAGGGUGACAGUUUGGGUCCUAUGUGAGAUGAUCAAAUCCACAGCAACAGAGGAAAGGACAAAAGGAAAAGGUCUGUAGCAGCACUACAUCAGAAAAAAAUGGAUUCAGCAAGGAAGUGGGUGACUCUGAGUAAGCAUCCAUGUCAGGAUGGUUUUGCUACAGCCCCCAACAAAACAUUAAUUAGUUUAAGAAACUCAACUUCGGUUUACAAGUGUUUUGGAAAAGUAACAAAGAACAACAUAAGUAACAAAAUAAUUCCUCAGGUCAUUACAAUGGAUGUUUCCUAUAACUGAAAAAUAUGGUUAAAAAGUACAAACUACAUUUGGUGUGCAAACUGUUUAGUUCUUAAUUCCAAACUAAAUUGUACAUUAUAUAGUAAAAUUUUGACCAGAAAAACUUGGAGAUUUUAGUAAAAAUUUCAUUGACAUAUUUACAGCCCCAGUGUAGUUUGGCCGGUGUGCAAAGCCUGACUAAGGAGGUUAUAGAAAAAAAUAUCAGACUUAAGCCCAUCAAAUCAUUAAAGAUGCUUUGGCAAGACUUCAAGCUUUACAGACAUACUCCAUGUGACCAGAGAUGUCAUAACCAGUGUUCUUUCUCUUGAAAUGUUAGAAUGCUUUAGUUUUAUUCUAUAAUUUCCGUGUUCCAUGGAACAGCAUUCAUUUCUCCCAGUUUUAGUAACAUAAUGAGAGAUAUAUUGAGUGUAUAGAGCAGGAAAGACAUGAAAACUUAUAUUGCAUAAUAUUAGCAAACAUAAAAGAUAGCAUUAUAAAUUUUUAAAAAUCCAAAAAAAUUCCAGAAACAGAACAGUGAGCAUGUUUAAAAAGUCAGGACUGACCGUUUCUGUGAGUUCUGAGGACUGUAAAUGAGCCUCAAUCCAUAAAGCUGAGAGGUUGUCUUAGCCCACAUAUGCAGCAGGUGACUCCCUCUGACAAAAGCAAGAUUUAGCUGGAUCUUUUAAAAAAAAAA
RNAcentral lists this long non-coding RNA (2594 nucleotides) under Homo sapiens (human). RNAcentral describes it as "HSALNT0353137". Lineage: Eukaryota; Metazoa; Chordata; Mammalia; Primates; Hominidae. The record is from RNAcentral.